UCGCCUUUUUUUAGGUGCCCUAAGCGCAUGCGCCGCUAGGCCAAGCUCCCGCUGAAGUUGGCGGCGCGCAUGCGCCUACCCGCCGAGUGACGCUUCCGUGCGCAUGCGCCUCCCCGCCCUCUCCCUGGAGGCUCGUCACGGGCAUGCGCAGCGCGCCGGGCUGUGACAAGAAAAGGGAAAUCCGGAAAUGAACCCGGCAGGGGGCGGGGCGUGACCUCUGACCCCGCGCACGCGGAGGACGGCGGCGACGCACGCGGGACGCGGCGGUGGAGACCAUGGAGCAGCCCCUGGGGCCUGAGAGCGAUGACGACCUGACAGACAGUGAGGAGAGCGUGUACUCAGGGCUGGAGGACUCCGGUAGCGACAGCACCAACAGCAGCGCUGAGGAGGAGGAGGAGGAUGAAGAGGAGCAGGAAGAGCCCAGCGGCAGGGCAGCCCCUGGGGUCAAAGGGGCUCCCAGGAAGAGCAAAGCUCUGGGGGCUGAUCCCUCUCCAAAGGACAGCGAGGGUCUGAGCGCUCCGGAUGAGUACGCGGAGGACAGCUCGGAUGAGGAGGUAGGACCCGCUGCCAGCUUGAUACGUGUGGAUACAACGUAGGGGAGGUGGAUUGAUUUCCCACUGUGUUGCCUUCUGUGCAAAUGCCAAAAGAGGGACGUUGGUCAAAGAGCGUUGGGUCUGACGGGGGGGCUGCCCACCCUGCAGCUCGCUGCUGGCACCCAGCGGGGCUGGGGGGGCUGGUGGCAGAGCGCAGUGCUCGUGGUGCCUGGCGCCGCAGGUUGGAAACUGGUUGUGCAAAAGGCAGCAGGAUCCGGGCCACAGAGCGCUCCUUGGCUUUGUUUGUUCCAGACCAACUUCAUUGCUUUUCUUAAUCGUCUGCUAAAUCAAUUAACGCGAUUGGCGCAAAUCAGCUGCUCCUGCGGAGCCCGGGGGUCGGGAUGGGGCGAGCGCCAAGUGCCGCGGGGGCGUUCGGUCUGGC
This 975-nucleotide long non-coding RNA is filed under the name Numida meleagris (helmeted guineafowl). RNAcentral's name for it is "lncRNA (ENSNMEG00000014080.1)". The record is from RNAcentral. Lineage: Eukaryota; Metazoa; Chordata; Aves; Galliformes; Numididae.